RNAcentral lists this ribosomal RNA (253 nucleotides) under uncultured bacterium. Its description in RNAcentral is "partial 16S ribosomal RNA". It matches the Rfam family "Bacterial small subunit ribosomal RNA", at positions 524 to 776 of the family's 1533-position model. The record is from RNAcentral.
UACGUAGGGGGCUAGCGUUGUCCGGAUUUAUUGGGCGUAAAGAGCGUGUAGGCGGCCAUGUAGGUCCGGUGUGAAAACUCGAGGCUCAACCUCGAGACGUCGGCGGAAACCAUCUGGCUAGAGUCCGGAAGAGGAGAGUGGAAUUCCUGGUGUAGCGGUGAAAUGCGCAGAUAUCAGGAAGAACACCCGUGGCGAAGGCGGCUCUCUGGGACGGUACUGACGCUGAGACGCGAAAGCGUGGGGAGCGAACAGG